GGAUAGUUGUGGAUCAGCACACAAAAGGGAUUAUCAAUCUAAGGGCUUUUCAAUCUUAAUCGAUUUGCUGAGCUGCUGCUGCUUCUCAAGUGAGUAGUCUUCACGGUUAUUAUUGAUAUGCUACUUUGUCAGGAUACAAAAGGGCUUUUCAUCGAUUUCUUCAUUGCUGAGUUGCUUCUUCUCCUCAGGCGAGUCUUGACGGUUGUUAU
This 209-nucleotide long non-coding RNA is filed under the name Capsicum annuum. Its description in RNAcentral is "long non-coding RNA (CANN_LNC011060)". Lineage: Eukaryota; Viridiplantae; Streptophyta; Magnoliopsida; Solanales; Solanaceae. The record is from RNAcentral.